AUUUUCUCAAAAAUCCAACGGAAUUCCACUAUUAGUAGAUCUAAGAUUGGCCAAAGUACCAAAAUCCUUUCUCUUCGUCUGUUGCUUAAAUCCCAGGCCUGUUUGGUGUUGAAAUCGAUCCCAAUCAGUAGCCAUUGGCUUGAAUCUUCAAUUGGAGGGGUGGUUCCAGUCCUUUCACGACUGCUAGAAGAUGGCCAAAUCGCCCCGAACCGGCCCAAAGCACCUCGAGUCAUCUGAUAUCUAUUCCUUCGACUGGCAAGAUGUAUUUUAACAUGAAGCAUUGGCCCCUGAAGAGAUUCCGGCUAGUGCUCGUGUAACAAUCCCUCCGUCUCGCCGGAAUUCAUUUGGCCGCAUUAUUUUGAACCCCGGAUAGGUGUGUAUCUCCUUAUUUUGCUGUCGAUUUGUUUUCAUGCUUAUUUUUCUAUGUUGGUUUUCAGAUAGGUUUAGUCAUCUCAGUUUCAUUUCAUAACUAAUCGGUCUAGGAUUUCAUAUUGGAACCAUUUGUUCUAGUAGUUAAUAUUGCUAUAGGUUGAUUGAUUACUGUGAAUUGUUUGUUUUCUAGUUGCUCAUAUAAUAGUCAUUUGUGAUUUCAAGUUAAAUCUCCGUGUUAUUGUUCCAUUUGCAUUGACUAUGAGACAUUCAUUGAUUUAAGACUUGCUAACUGAAACUAUUCGGUUUAAACUCAAUUGAGCUGUGAGUUACAGGGGUAAAAGAGGAGUUUAAAAGAGUUUGAAGGACUGGUUAGAGUAAAAAUUGAACUUCUGGGGGCAUUUGGGAGAUAAAACUUAGAGGAAUCUUUUCUGUUGCUGCUGGGAAAGCUUCUAGAAUAGAGAAGAGGGGUCACUUUGCAAUAGGAAAAUACAGGAUUUAGGGUGAAGCAGGUAAAUACAGAAAGCAAAAGGAUUAAGAAGAAAGGAAAGAAUAAUUGGAAAGGGACAACUAUCCAAAUCAGUUAAAAAGAUGCAUUUUUCCUAUUUUUUAGGGCUGGCACAUUCCUAGAUUAUUCCCUAUCUUUUUGUGCAUAUAACACACCCUCACAUUCUAUAUAAGGACACACAUUCCCUUACUAUAACAUACAUUGAUCCUCUGCAGAAUUCUCAUACAUAUUCCCUCACCUUCACUGAUUUUCACUAGUCACACAC
Molecule: long non-coding RNA, 1142 nt
Filed under: Nicotiana tabacum (common tobacco)
Lineage: Eukaryota; Viridiplantae; Streptophyta; Magnoliopsida; Solanales; Solanaceae
Description: long non-coding RNA (NTAB_LNC018431)
Source: RNAcentral